RNAcentral lists this ribosomal RNA (246 nucleotides) under uncultured bacterium. RNAcentral describes it as "partial 16S ribosomal RNA". It matches the Rfam family "Bacterial small subunit ribosomal RNA", at positions 923 to 1172 of the family's 1533-position model. The record is from RNAcentral.
GCACAAGCAGUGGAGUAUGUGCUUUACUUUGACCCAACGGGAAGAACCUUACCGGAACUUGACACCCCGCAAAGGGGCUUGGAAUGAGCCGGAUACCUUUCCGGGAAUGGGGUGCCAGGUGGUGCAUGGUUGUCGUCAGCUCGUGUCGUGAGAUGUUGGGUUAAGUCCCGCAACGAGCGCAACCCUUACGGUUAGUUGCUACGAAAGAGCACUCUAGCCGGACUGCCGUUGACAAAACGGAGGAAG